CCUACGGGGGGCAGCAGUGAGGAAUAUUGGUCAAUGGACGAGAGUCUGAACCAGCCAAGUAGCGUGAAGGAUGACUGCCCUAUGGGUUGUAAACUUCUUUUAUAUGGGAAUAAAAUGUUCCACGUGUGGGCUUUUGUAUGUACCAUAUGAAUAAGGAUCGGCUAACUCCGUGCCAGCAGCCGCGGUAAUACGGAGGAUCCGAGCGUUAUCCGGAUUUAUUGGGUUUAAAGGGAGCGUAGGUGGAUUGUUAAGUCAGUUGUGAAAGUUUGCGGCUCAACCGUAAAAUUGCAGUUGAAACUGGCAGUCUUGAGUACAGUAGAGGUAGGCGGAAUUCGUGGUGUAGCGGUGAAAUGCUUAGAUAUCACGCAGAACUCCGAUUGCGAAGGCAGCUCACUGGACUGCAACUGACACUGAGGCUCGAAAGUGUGGGUAUCAAACAGGAUUAGAUACCCUUGUAGUC
RNAcentral lists this ribosomal RNA (460 nucleotides) under uncultured bacterium. RNAcentral describes it as "partial 16S ribosomal RNA". It matches the Rfam family "Bacterial small subunit ribosomal RNA", at positions 338 to 795 of the family's 1533-position model. The record is from RNAcentral.